This 739-nucleotide small RNA is filed under the name Pongo abelii (Sumatran orangutan). RNAcentral's name for it is "processed transcript". Lineage: Eukaryota; Metazoa; Chordata; Mammalia; Primates; Hominidae. The record is from RNAcentral.
CCAAGGGGACCCUGCGACCACCUGAGCGCCAGGCCCUGUUUGGCUCCUGGGAGCUCAUCUACGGCGCCAGCCAGGAGCUGCUUCCCUACCUGGAAGGAGGAUGCUGGGGCCAAGGGCUGGAGGGCUUCUGCCGCCACUUGGAGCUCUAUAACCAGUUUGCUGCCAACUCAGAGAGGUCCCAGACCACCCUGCAGGAGCAGCUAAAGAAAAAUAAAGGUUUCCGGAGGUUUGUACGGCUUCAGGAAGGCCGCCCUGAGUUUGGGGGCCUUCAGCUCCAGGACCUGCUCCCUCUGCCUCUUCAGCGGCUCCAGCAGUAUGAGAAUCUCGUCGUUGCUUUGGCUGAAAAUACAGGUCCCAACAGCCCUGACCAUCAACAGCUCACACGUAGGUUCUUGCUCCUCUGCAACGCAGGCUGGAGGCUUCCUCUCCUGUAUCCCUUUCUGAUUCUGACCUCCAACAAUGUCUGGUAUGACCCUAUCUUCCACUGACAUGUAUACAGUGUCCCUACUACUCUGCCUUUUCUUCAAGAAGUCAGACCCUGACCCUGGUCCCCUCCAGAAUAACCUCUUUCACAACCAUGGCACCCAAAGUCAAAGUUAUAUGGGGAGUAAGGUGGGAGAUGUUAUUCCAGGGGCUGCCCGACUGAUAAGUGAGACUGCCCAGAGAGUCCACACUAUUGGUCAGAAACAGAAGAAUGACCAGCACCUUCGGCGUGUCCAGGCUCUGCUCAGUGGACGCC